This 429-nucleotide ribosomal RNA is filed under the name Bacteroidota bacterium. Its description in RNAcentral is "Bacteroidetes bacterium partial 16S ribosomal RNA". It matches the Rfam family "Bacterial small subunit ribosomal RNA", at positions 355 to 776 of the family's 1533-position model. The record is from RNAcentral. Lineage: Bacteria; Pseudomonadati; Bacteroidota.
UAGGGAAUCUUCCGCAAUGGACGCAAGUCUGUCGGAGCAACGCCGCGUGAGUGAAGAAGGAUUUCGGUUCGUAAAACUCUGUUGUUAGAGAAGAACAGCGCAUAGAGUAACUGUUAUGCGUGUGACGGUAUCUAACCAGAAAGCCACGGCUAACUACGUGCCAGCAGCCGCGGUAAUACGUAGGUGGCAAGCGUUGUCCGGAUUUAUUGGGCGUAAAGCGAGCGCAGGCGGUCAAUUAAGUCUGAUGUGAAAGCCCCCGGCUCAACCGGGGAGGGUCAUUGGAAACUGGUUGACUUGAGUGCAGAAGAGGAGAGUGGAAUUCCAUGUGUAGCGGUGAAAUGCGUAGAUAUAUGGAGGAACACCAGUGGCGAAGGCGACUCUCUGGUCUGUAACUGACGCUGAGGUUCGAAAGCGUGGGUAGCAAACAGG